UUCAGGCAGUCACCUUACAACAGAGAGACCAACUCCUCCAUGGUGGCCAAGGACAACUCCUACAACAGAUUAUUCUUGCGGUGGUUUCCUCGCACAUUCAUCUGGGUCAUUUCAAAGUCCGU
Molecule: long non-coding RNA, 122 nt
Organism: Lacerta agilis (Sand lizard)
Lineage: Eukaryota; Metazoa; Chordata; Lepidosauria; Squamata; Lacertidae
Exons: 3
Source: RefSeq, a predicted model, not a curated record